UGGGGGAUAUUGCACAAUGGGCGAAAGCCUGAUGCAGCGACGCCGCGUGGGGGAUGAAGGCUUUCGGGUUGUAAACCUCUUUCGCUAUCGAACAAGGCCCGCUUAGGGUGGGUUGAGGGUAGGUGGAGAAGAAGCGCCGGCUAACUACGUGCCAGCAGCCGCGGUAAUACGUAGGGCGCGAGCGUUGUCCGGAAUUAUUGGGCGUAAAGGGCUUGUAGGCGGCUUGUUGCGCCUGCUGUGAAAACGCGGGGCUUAACUUCGCGCGUGCAGUGGGUACGGGCGGGCUUGAGUGUGGUAGGGGUGACUGGAAUGCCAGGUGUAGCGGUGGAAUGCGCAGAUAUCUGGAGGAACGCCGAUGGCGAAGGCAGGUCACCGGGCCAUUACUGACGCUGAGGAGCGAAAGCAUGGGUAGCGAACAGG
RNAcentral lists this ribosomal RNA (420 nucleotides) under bacterium. RNAcentral describes it as "partial 16S ribosomal RNA". It matches the Rfam family "Bacterial small subunit ribosomal RNA", at positions 355 to 776 of the family's 1533-position model. The record is from RNAcentral.